This 559-nucleotide ribosomal RNA is filed under the name uncultured Glomus. RNAcentral describes it as "SSU rRNA". It matches the Rfam family "Eukaryotic small subunit ribosomal RNA", at positions 546 to 1106 of the family's 1831-position model. The record is from RNAcentral. Lineage: Eukaryota; Fungi; Glomeromycota; Glomeromycetes; Glomerales; Glomeraceae.
AAUUGGAGGGCAAGUCUGGUGCCAGCAGCCGCGGUAAUUCCAGCUCCAAUAGCGUAUAUUAAAGUUGUUGCAGUUAAAAAGCUCGUAGUUGAAUUUCGGGAUCAGUACGCUGGUCGUGCCUUCGGUAUGUACUGGUGUUACUGGUUCCUACCUUCUGACGAACCGUCAUGUCAUUAAUUUGGUGUGGCGGGGAAUCAGGACUGUUACUUUGAAAAAAUUAGAGUGUUUAAAGCAGGCUCGCGCUUGAAUACAUUAGCAUGGAAUAAUGAAAUAGGACGUUUGAUCCUAUUUUGUUGGUUUCUAGGAUUGACGUAAUGAUUAAUAGGGAUAGUUGGGGGCAUUAGUAUUCAAUUGUCAGAGGUGAAAUUCUUGGAUUUAUUGAAGACUAACUACUGCGAAAGCAUUUGCCAAGGAUGUUUUCAUUAAUCAAGAACGAAAGUUAGGGGAUCGAAGACGAUCAGAUACCGUCGUAGUCUUAACCAUAAACUAUGCCGACUAGGGAUCGGAUGAUGUUAAUUUUUUAAUGACUCAUUCGGCGCCUUACGGGAAACCAAAGUGU